GACGAACGCUGGCGGCGUGCUUAACACAUGCAAGUCGAACGGAAAGGCCCUGCUUUUGUGGGGUGCUCGAGUGGCGAACGGGUGAGUAACACGUGAGUAACCUGCCCUUGACUUUGGGAUAACUUCAGGAAACUGGGGCUAAUACCGGAUAGGAGCUCCUGCUGCAUGGUGGGGGUUGGAAAGUUUCGGCGGUUGGGGAUGGACUCGCGGCUUAUCAGCUUGUUGGUGGGGUAGUGGCUUACCAAGGCUUUGACGGGUAGCCGGCCUGAGAGGGUGACCGGCCACAUUGGGACUGAGAUACGGCGCAGACUCCUACGGGAGGCAGCAGUGGGGAAUAUUGCACAGUGGGCGGAAGCCUGAUGCAGCAACGCCGCGUGCGGGAUGACGGCCUUCGGGUUGUAAACCGCUUUCGCCUGUGACGAAGCGUGAGUGACGGUAAUGGGUAAAGAAGCACCGGCUAACUACGUG
This 468-nucleotide ribosomal RNA is filed under the name uncultured bacterium. RNAcentral describes it as "partial 16S ribosomal RNA". It matches the Rfam family "Bacterial small subunit ribosomal RNA", at positions 28 to 507 of the family's 1533-position model. The record is from RNAcentral.